Molecule: ribosomal RNA, 460 nt
Filed under: uncultured bacterium
Lineage: Bacteria
Description: partial 16S ribosomal RNA
Rfam family: Bacterial small subunit ribosomal RNA
Source: RNAcentral
CCUACGGGCGGCAGCAGUGAGGAAUAUUGGUCAAUGGACGGAAGUCUGAACCAGCCAUGCCGCGUGCAGGAUGACGGUUCUCUGAUUUUUACACUGCUUUUGUACGAGAAUAAUAGUUCUUACGUGUAGGGAGUUGACUGUAUCGUACGAAUAAGUAUCGGCUAACUCCGUGCCAGCAGCCGAGGUAAUACGGAGGAUUCGAGCGGUAUCCGGAUUUAUUGGGUUGAAAGGGUGCGUAGGCGGUCGGGUAAGUUGGAGGUCAAAGGUCGGGGCCUAACCCCGUGCCUGCCUCUGAUACGGUUCGACUAGAGAGCGGAUGAAGCAGGCGGAAUGAGUAGUGUAGCGGUGAAAUGCGUAGAUAUUAGUCAGAACACCGAUUGCGCAGGCAGCUUGCUAAUCCGUAUCUGACGCUGAUGCACGAAAGCGUGGGUAGCGAACAGGAUUAGAUACCCGUGUAGUC